Molecule: ribosomal RNA, 253 nt
Filed under: uncultured bacterium
Lineage: Bacteria
Description: partial 16S ribosomal RNA
Rfam family: Bacterial small subunit ribosomal RNA
Source: RNAcentral
UACGGAGGGGGCUAGCGUUGUUCGGAAUUACUGGGCGUAAAGCGCACGUAGGCGGCUUUGCAAGUUAGAGGUGAAAGCCCGGGGCUCAACUCCGGAAUUGCCUUUAAGACUGCAUCGCUAGAAUUGUGGAGAGGUAAGUGGAAUUCCGAGUGUAGAGGUGAAAUUCGUAGAUAUUCGGAAGAACACCAGUGGCGAAGGCGACUUACUGGACACAUAUUGACACUGAGGUGCGAAAGCGUGGGGAGCAAACAGG